AUUGAACGCUGGCGGCAGGCCUAACACAUGCAAGUCGAGCGAGCGGCGGACGGGUGAGUAAUGUAUGGGGACCUGACCGAUCGAGGGGGAUAACUACUGGAAACGGUGGCUAAUACCGCAUACUACCGGAUGAACCCUUUUGGGAUUAGCUAGUAGGUGGGGUAAAGGCUCACCUAGGCGACGAUCUCUAUCUGGUCUGGGAGGGAGAACAACCACACUGGGAAUGAGACACCGCCCCAACUCCUACGGGAGGCAGCAGUGGGGAAUGUGUGACAAAUGGCGAAAGCCUGAACCAGCAAUACCGCGUGUGUGAAGAAAGCCCUAGGGUUGUAAAACACUUUUGUGAAGGAGAUGGUACCUAAAGAAUAAGCACCGGCUAACUACGUGCCAGCAGCCGCGGUAAUAC
This 406-nucleotide ribosomal RNA is filed under the name uncultured bacterium. Its description in RNAcentral is "partial 16S ribosomal RNA". It matches the Rfam family "Bacterial small subunit ribosomal RNA", at positions 30 to 526 of the family's 1533-position model. The record is from RNAcentral.